Molecule: long non-coding RNA, 111 nt
Organism: Phyllostomus discolor (pale spear-nosed bat)
Lineage: Eukaryota; Metazoa; Chordata; Mammalia; Chiroptera; Phyllostomidae
Exons: 3
Source: RefSeq, a predicted model, not a curated record
CCUGUGAACAGUCAGUUUCUGGACAAUCUCUGAGGUCAUGUGGAAGUUAGUACCAAGCACACCAAAAGCUACUGUAUAUUUCUUGCUGGGUCUUUACAACCACCUACAGGA